Molecule: long non-coding RNA, 1761 nt
Organism: Mus musculus (house mouse)
Lineage: Eukaryota; Metazoa; Chordata; Mammalia; Rodentia; Muridae
Product: predicted gene, 32656
Exons: 3
Source: RefSeq, a predicted model, not a curated record
GGCGUUAUUAGCAGGCAUCUUCACUUUCCUAUGCCUGCAGUGCUCUCUACAAAGAUGAGGAGGUCCUGACCUUGGGGAAUGUUUGUACCUGGUGAGCAACUGAGAUGGAAGCCUGGGGACAGAAAGUGCCCAAUCCCGCUCAGAGCAAAGGCAGCAGAGCUCUUUUCUUUGGGGUGAUUGAGGAUCCCCACAAGGAGAAGUCAUCCCACCUGGGUCCUUUGAGAAGAGAAUCUUAGGCAGAGGGAGUAACUUAAACAGAGACAGCUCAGAGAGGCAUAGCCAGGGUGUGGUGAGAGACUACCCUCAGCCAGGCUGUGGGCAGCUGAGCCUGGGAGCAGUGGGGGUUGGAAGACCUUGACCAUGCUGGGAGAUCAAUCUUGACUACCAGAGCCUUUGGAGCAUGCUGUCUGCUUUUGCCACAAAAAGAAAAAGAAACUGAAGUUAUGGAAAAAGUAAGCUUCAGAACUGCAAACGGAGACCAUCAGAGAAAACCACAGCUGGACGCGAUGCAGAGAUAAACAAUCAUGAAGAGCCCAGCCCCAGCCAGUGCAUCUACAUAAUAGCUCCUGCAUCUGUGGCUCAGGGGACACCACAGAAGAGUCUGAAAGACUAAGAGCCAACACACUAUCAGGUCUUCUGUAAACCAGUCUCUCCUAGAAAUGGUAACACAAAGAAGCCCAGAACCAUGAAUAGACGUGGAGUCCCAACCCCAGAAAGUAUCUACAGGUUGCCCAAUGCGUAGUGGCCAGCCUUAAAAGCAUAUAGAUACAAGCAACAAAAAUGAACUCAGCAGGUUUUAUCUAUAAAUAUUUGUUAUUGUAUGUAACUAUAACAAUCAAAGGGGGGAUAAGCCAUCAACUUGAAAGGAUAUGGGGGAGGUAUGCAUAGGAGAGGUUUGAGAGAGGGUAGCCAGUAGGAAGGAGGAAAAGGGGGCCAAAAUGAUGUCCUUCUAUUUCAAUUAAAAGCAUAUUUAAAUAUAUAUUCUUUUAAACAUGUAUAUACUUUGAAGAGAUAUGAGUACUCACUCACUCUCUCACUCUCUCCUGUUCUCUUACACCUAAUUGUACAGUACCACAAUUUUUUUUUUUUCAUAUCUUGGUUGACUGGGACCUUGAAAUGUGAACUCAAGGAUAAGGGAAAUAACUUUAGGAAUUGUGUGUGUGUGUGUGUGUGUGUGUGUGUGUCUGUCUGUCUGUCUGUCUACCAUUUAAAGAUACCAUCCAAGGUGAGACUCAUUUCCAGAAGCUGUUAUGGAUAUUAAGUCCAAUAACCUAAGCAGCAAGAGUGGAACAGAGCGCGGCCAUGCUCCUGAGUGCUCUCAGAGACCAGGCAGGAGCGAUUUCACACUUCACCAAUUUCAUGCUGGGAGGGGGGAUCCCCAUUAUUAUAAGAGGUGAAAGUUGCCAGUUUUGUAAGGAGAUCCUGUGGCCUGUGAGAAUGACCUGGAGCAGAAACCACAGAGCUGACAAUCAAAGGCACGAGCAAGCUCUGUUUAACAUUUCUAAGCUGAUUUCCCCCUUACUGCUAAAAUGCCAGAAAUACUUAUUUUGCAAGUCUACACACUAAUGUGAGGAAAUCAAGAUGGCCAGCUCUUGGAAGAUGCUUUCAACCUCAAGUUCUCCACAGAGCCAUUGCAAGAAAAUGUGGAAGAUGGGUUACCGAACAGACGCCUGGCACCGUAACACCACAGAAGUGAGAAAACUGCUAUUGUAGCAUGCACCCUAGUCUUAAGCAGCGCAUUGCUCUAUCAAUAAUGGAAAA